This 2543-nucleotide long non-coding RNA is filed under the name Lupinus angustifolius (narrow-leaved blue lupine). Its description in RNAcentral is "long non-coding RNA (LANG_LNC002287)". Lineage: Eukaryota; Viridiplantae; Streptophyta; Magnoliopsida; Fabales; Fabaceae. The record is from RNAcentral.
AAAAUUUCUUCAAUCUUGGGAGGGGGGUGUUAAAUAUGGAUCAUAAGCUCAUAUGCAUAUAAGGCCAUAGGUAUGCACUUCUAUGUAUAUGGCUUGCCACAUAAGUUCUUUUAUGAUUGGUUAUGAUCGAUUCCUCUCUUAGAUAGUUUCGGUUAUGGUAGUUAUGAUUAUGUUUACUUUAAAUGGUAAUUUGAGUUUCAAAUAACUAUCAAUUUUUAUAUUGUAUAAAUUCUCUAUACUUUGCCUUUGUGUAUAAUCAAUUUCCAAUAAUAGAAAGUUCAAUCUCUUUUACUCUUUCAAUUCCUUUCUCUUCUUUUGUGUUGAACUACUAAGAUUCUAAAAUGGUAUCAGAACAAUGUAAUUAUUUUCUUCUUCUUAAGCAUUUGCAAGUGCAAAUGGGUAUCACACUUCAGCAUAUCAUGCCAAUCAAUCACAGCGGAGAUGGUUCCUUCACCUUGUAUAUACCCUCAGAGAUUUUGAGGAACAAGAAGAAGGAUCUAAAAUGGAUGCAUUCAAGCCAAACAUUUGAGUUGGGAAUUGCAACUCUGACUGAUUUCCAUCAGGAUGGUCAUGAGCAUUUUCAUUUGUUACUUUCUGAUGUUGAUCUUUUCCUUCCAGAAAUUUAUAAAUCACAUUAUCAAAUUUUGCUGAAUCUCUGUGCGAUUUUCUCCUUUCUUUCUAAUCUUGGCCUAGCCCGAGAGAUCACUUCAAUGCCUUCUUGCAUUUCUUUCUUUAUCAAAUACUUUUAUAAUCUUCAUGUUCACUAUUUCUCUCAAUUCUUCUUGAUAUUCUUCACACAUAUAUUGCUCAUUUUUCAUCACAUUCUUCUUUUGUUAUUCUUGAGCAAAACUUGCUCAUAUUUCAUCAUAUCCUUCACUUGUUAUCCUUGAGCAAAAAUUGCUCAUAUUUCACAUAUUAUUUUCCUUUUAUUCUUGAAGCAAAUAUUGUUCAUAAUUUAUCAUAUUCUUCUCUAUUUAUUUUUGAACACAUAUUGUUCAAAUUUUAUCAUAUUCUAGAUUUUUCUUAUUCAUUGGCCAAGAAACCAAUAUGGUAUUUUUGUGCAUUGUUAUUCUCGAACAAGUAUUGUUCAUAUUUUAAUAUAUUCUAGAUUUUUCUCAUUCUUUCGCCAAUAAACCAAGAUGGUAUUCCUGAGCAAUAAUAUCAUUUGUUCUCAUCUGAUCUUCUUUCUAUUGUGUUGAUUUUUGAUAAACAACAUCUUUACUUUCAAUUUCACUAAUAUUCUAUUAAGAAUUCUUCUAUUUCUUCUUUCUUCAUUGAAUAUAUCUACCAGAAAAAUUAAACAAAGUUCAAGAUUUAUGGUUUCAAAUUUGUCUCAAGAGUUUGUGGGUUGUUUGAUGCAUUGAGAAAUAGAGAAAAUAUAAGAGGAUAUUUUCUGUGGUCCUUAUUGGAUGGAUACAAAUGGAAUUUUGGGCUAUAUUAUGUUGUUGAAGUUGUAGAUCUUCUAACAAAGGUUUUGGAGACUUCUCCCUUCAAUCAUCUUUUUUCUAAGUUAGGAGUUCUCACCAUUCACUUUCCAACUAACUUGAGGGAGGGUGUUGACAUAUAUAGUAUCAAUAUAAAUAAUAAUGUAUGCGAAUAUGUGAAAUUAUAUAGUUUGAUUGGUUAUAUCCCAAGUUAUUAUUUUCUAAGAAUAAAAAGAGUUAGUUGGUUAGUUAGUUUUGAUUAUUAAGUUUGUUAGUUUUUCCUUCCUUUUAUGUAAGAUCUUCAUUAUAACUUUGUAGUUCAUCCAUUCAAUAUUGAAUCCAUUCAAUUGAUUCAAAUUCAAUAUAUUCAGUCAUUCAUUGAAAUACACAAUCUUUUUCUUGCUCUUUCAUUUCUAAUACGUUCUCUGUGAGAGCACAUAGCUAUAGGCUUCAACAAACUGACAAAUCUCGUUGUAGAUUGAGAGAGGGUUUCUAGGAUUUGCUUAGGAUUUGUAAGAAAGAUAAAUCAUAAGAGAAAAUAUAAAGUCUUAGAGUGUGUGAGAGGAUUUUAGAUGCUAAGAUGCUUAUAAAGACACUUCAGAAGUAAUGCAUAUAUGCUUCAAUUUUAAUGGAAAGCACAAACUGGUUUUGUUACAUCAACAAACAAAUAAGAAAUUCAAAAUAAAGCAUUUUUGGAAAACACACAACUUGAUGAUGAGGGUGAAAUUAUGCUAAUUUGUAUUGCAUUUAACUUACAUUUUAGGAUAUAAUUAGGACUUUAGGAUUGGUUUUAGCUUUUAUUUCUCUUUGUUUGGGUUGAGCAGUUGUUUUUGGCUAUAUUGUGUAGGUUGGAUGGAUUGAAGGCAAAAAGAGUAGAGAUUGGAUACAAGAAGAUGAAAUUCGGUAUCGAGGCUAUGUGAAGACCAAUUGAAGGGCAAAAAGAAGUCACCUUAGAGCCUGGAUCGAAGAGAAGCAAUUUGAAGUGAAGGUGCCACGAUCCACGACCAGGCUGUGUCUCACACCCAUGGCUAUGGAUGACAAAUUCAAUUCCUAUUUUUUUAGAUUUGUUUUGUUGGGCUUAGCCCAAUUUUUGUAAUUAGGAUAAAUGAGUAUUCCCCC